RNAcentral lists this long non-coding RNA (2796 nucleotides) under Marmota monax (woodchuck). Lineage: Eukaryota; Metazoa; Chordata; Mammalia; Rodentia; Sciuridae. The record is from RNAcentral.
ACUGAAGGUAUAUUGAAGGACCCCAAGGCCCCAGGCCCAACAUUAGGAAAACUAACCCCUGUGCCCUGAAGCUGCAAGAUGUUCCCUUACCCAACCCCCAUGUCAAAACCCCACCAGCUGCACGUAGCACUUCAAGUCUCGCACAAUGUUACCACAAGAUGUUCCAUAUAGAUAACCCCAGAAGGGCCAAACUUGAGCAAACAGGGUAAAAACAGGAACUAAAAGGACAGGAUGCAAUUUUAUGUUUUUUCUGAGAACUAAAGUGGGAAAACAAGUUUACCCCCCUAGGUGACUCAACUGCUGAAUUCAGAGGGACCAAUAGGAAGGCUGUUGCUGUGCUAAGCUAAGACCUAACCCACCUGUUCCCUAUAAAAGAUCUAUACCCCAAAGCCCGGUGUGCCAGUUCACCGAAGCUCCGGCUGAGGUUUUGCUGUGCACCCGCAGGCGCCUGUGUGAGAAUAAACGCCUCCUGCUUUUUGCAGCCAGUGUCUCGUGUGGUUCAUUCCGGGUUUGGGAUCUGUGGAUAUUUCAUUGUGGAGGUUCCACCGAGAUCCAAGAUCCCGGUUCCGGUUCCGAUCCCGGUCCCUAUCCGGAGGACACCCGACAUCACUGGGAGGUAAGCUGGCCAGCUCAAACUGACUGUCUUGUUGUCCUGUUGGUUAUCUGUUCUUUGUUCCGCGCAGCGUCUGUAAGACUAUAUGAUCCUAGGCAUAGUCAUUUAGUAUUCUGAGUAUUCUGAGGCAGUUCUGUCAUUUAGUAUUCUGAGGCAGCUUGAGAAGGAGUUGACGAACUCGGACUUCUCCCCUGCCACCCUGGGAGACGUCCCAGGGAUCAGAAGUGUCCAUUUCUUUGGGGCCCCCGGUGUUUCCGAGGGUUACACCAUUUUUGUAGGCGACAAAGAAGUACAAACUUCUCCCAGGCCAUCUGAUUUGUUCGGUUUCCACCGAAGCCGCGCAGCGAUCUCACUGUUUGGUUUCGUUUUUGUGUCAUUGUGUCUGUCUCUCUAUUUCCUCUCUGAGAAUAACAUGGGACAAUCACUAACAACCCCUUUGAGCCUAACUCUAGAUCAUUGGCAAGACGUUCAAGAUCGGGCAGACAACCUGUCCGUGACAGUCAAAAAGAAAAAAUGGGUAACACUCUGUACCACGGAGUGGCCAAUAUUGGCCCACCCUCGAAGUUAAAUGGCCCCCAGGAGAGUCCCUCCAUCUCUCUCUCUAAUUUGCAAAGUCAGAGAUUGUCUUUCAGCCGGGGCCGCAUGGCCAUCCAGAUCAUGGCUUUUAACCUUUCAGGACCUCUGCGAAUCCCCUCCUGCAUGGGUGGGAUCCACGCAGUCCGCCGGGAGGAUUCCACCCGGCGGUAUGGCGGAUCUGUCCCGUCCCUGUUCCUCCCGGCCCCUCCACCCCAGGAAGCGAACGGGUCUUCCUGGAGUCCGGCUGCUUGGAAAUGCAGCCCAAGGCGGAUGAUAAAUUCUAUCUAAGGCUGAAUACUGAGACUAGGGAAGCAAUGUUUUCUUCCCCCCCCAUAACUGGCUUGAGUGCAAAUAGAGAUGCCUGCUGGGGAUUUAACAACUUUGACAUCUCGCUUUGACUUUUCUCAAAGCCCUGUCCUCAUUAUUAAAUUAAUGUUAAUUGGCUUUAGAGAUGGGAACCAAAUUUUCAGUCACAAAUUUUGACACUCUCAAGGGGACUUUUAAGGAGUUCCCACUCUGCUUUCUUGGGGAAGCCUAGCACUCGAAACAACUGCAAGCAGAGGAUGGACUUUUUGGGAGCUGGCUACUAACAAGUUAGAAAAAAAAAAAAAAUACCUAAACUAGAGGAACUGAUCCUGUGGGUGAAAGAUAGGAUUAAGGGACUCCCAGCAGCUGCCAGAGCCAUUUAGCUCUGGGGAGUUCCCUGGGUCCUUAUCUACAUCUUAAGGAUCUGUUUACUUAACCUCUGUUUACUUAAAAAAAAAGGGACACUGAAUGCAAUAAAGCCAGUCACACUGAGACCCUUGAUUUUACACCUAUAGUUGCCCCUACGUGAAAACAUCUGGUCCACUCAUAGGAAAGUCUAUGGUGCCACUGAUAAAAGUCAUAAUUAAAUGAAAGUUCAAAACCUGGAGAGAUAUUUUCUUAUCUGGUUGUCUGAUUGUUUCUUAGAGAUAAUCUAGGUUAAAUGUGUGUCUAAAAAAAAAUAAUAAUAAUAAUAAUAAUUUUUUAUUGUAACAAUCUGGUAUCUGAAUGGGUUUCUAAAGCAUUGCACUAUCUUGCAGUUAAAAGUUGGGUUUAAACAAUUGUUUAGUUUGAUUUCAGAUAGUUCAUGCUAGAAAACUUAAAUACUUGGGAUAAAAAAUUUUAAAAGUUUCAAUUUUGAACUGGGUAGCCUGAAGAAAAAAAAAUUAAAAAUAGAUCCAAAUAUCUUUAAUUCACGUGAUUCAAACGGUUCAAUUUAGAUUGGGUAAACAGAUAAAAGUAAAGAUGUCCUCAAAAUUAAGCUUAUAAGUUUCUCUAGGUGUUCAAAAAGGCCCUAAUAAAAUGUUAACUCUGCUUAAAUUUAAAAGUUUACAAGUAUUGUUUCAAAAUGUGAACAAAAAAAAAUUUAUGUAAUUAUGGUGUUAUUAAUGUGUUCAUAUCUUCCAGGUAUACAAGUCUGUAAGGUAAAAGCUUCAAAAGAACAUUAUAUCAAGCUGGUGUUCUAAAGUUGUAUGGUAAUUUUAGGCUUAAAAAAAAAAUGUUGAAAAUUCGAUUAUAUCAUUUGUGUUCUAUAACUGAACUUGUUAUCAAUAAGAUAUGUACAGUUCCAUGUUACUUUCUAC